UCACUUUAACACUGAGGCGUGACGACGAGGCACUACGGUGCUGAAGCAACAAAUGCCCUGCUUCCAGGAAAAGCCUCUAAGCAUCAGGUAACACGAAAUCGUACCCCAAACCGACACAGGUGGUCAGGUAGAGAAUACCAAGGCGCUUGAGAGAACUCGGGUGAAGGAACUAGGCAAAAUGGUGCCGUAACUUCGGGAGAAGGCACGCUGACACGUAGGUGAAGUGAUUUACUCACGGAGCUGAAGUCAGUCGAAGAUACCAGCUGGCUGCAACUGUUUAUUAAAAACACAGCACUGUGCAAACACGAAAGUGGACGUAUACGGUGUGACGCCUGCCCGGUGCCGGAAGGUUAAUUGAUGGGGUCAGCGCAAGCGAAGCUCCUGAUCGAAGCCCCGGUAAACGGCGGCCGUAACUAUAACGGUCCUAAGGUAGCGAAAUUCCUUGUCGGGUAAGUUCCGACCUGCACGAAUGGCGUAAUGAUGGCCAGGCUGUCUCCACCCGAGACUCAGUGAAAUUGAACUCGCUGUGAAGAUGCAGUGUACCCGCGGCAAGACGGAAAGACCCCGUGAACCUUUACUAUAGCUUGACACUGAACAUUGAGCCUUGAUGUGUAGGAUAGGUGGGAGGCUUUGAAGUGUGGACGCCAGUCUGCAUGGAGCCGACCUUGAAAUACCACCCUUUAAUGUUUGAUGUUCUAACGUGGACCCGUAAUCCGGGUUGCGGACAGUGUCUGGUGGGUAGUUUGACUGGGGCGGUCUCCUCCUAAAGAGUAACGGAGGAGCACGAAGGUUGGCUAAUCCUGGUCGGACAUCAGGAGGUUAGUGCAAUGGCAUAAGCCAGCUUGACUGCGAGCGUGACGGCGCGAGCAGGUGCGAAAGCAGGUCAUAGUGAUCCGGUGGUUCUGAAUGGAAGGGCCAUCGCUCAACGGAUAAAAGGUACUCCGGGGAUAACAGGCUGAUACCGCCCAAGAGUUCAUAUCGACGGCGGUGUUUGGCACCUCGAUGUCGGCUCAUCACAUCCUGGGGCUGAAGUAGGUCCCAAGGGUAUGGCUGUUCGCCAUUUAAAGUGGUACGCGAGCUGGGUUUAGAACGUCGUGAGACAGUUCGGUCCCUAUCUGCCGUGGGCGCUGGAGAACUGAGGGGGGCUGCUCCUAGUACGAGAGGACCGGAGUGGACGCAUCACUGGUGUUCGGGUUGUCAUGCCAAUGGCACUGCCCGGUAGCUAAAUGCGGAAGAGAUAAGUGCUGAAAGCAUCUAAGCACGAAACUUGCCCCGA
This 1276-nucleotide ribosomal RNA is filed under the name Salmonella enterica subsp. enterica serovar Typhimurium. Its description in RNAcentral is "partial 23S ribosomal RNA". It matches the Rfam family "Bacterial large subunit ribosomal RNA", at positions 1545 to 2802 of the family's 2925-position model. Lineage: Bacteria; Pseudomonadati; Pseudomonadota; Gammaproteobacteria; Enterobacterales; Enterobacteriaceae. The record is from RNAcentral.